This 487-nucleotide ribosomal RNA is filed under the name uncultured bacterium. RNAcentral describes it as "bacterial SSU rRNA". It matches the Rfam family "Bacterial small subunit ribosomal RNA", at positions 1 to 505 of the family's 1533-position model. The record is from RNAcentral.
CCCUUAGAGUUUGAUCCUGGCUCAGGAUGAACGCUGGCGGCGUGCCUAAUACAUGCAAGUCGAGCGAACCACUUCGGUGGUGAGCGGCGAACGGGUGAGUAACACGUAGGUUAUCUGCCCAUCAGACGGGGACAACGAUUGGAAACGAUCGCUAAUACCGGAUAGGACGAAAGUUUAAAGGUGCUUCGGCACCACUGAUGGAUGAGCCUGCGGCGCAUUAGCUAGUUGGUAGGGUAAAGGCCUACCAAGGCGACGAUGCGUAGCCGACCUGAGAGGGUGAACGGCCACACUGGGACUGAGACACGGCCCAGACUCCUACGGGAGGCAGCAGUAGGGAAUCUUCGGCAAUGGGCGAAAGCCUGACCGAGCAACGCCGCGUGAAUGAUGAAGGCCUUCGGGUUGUAAAAUUCUGUUAUAAGGGAAGAAUGGCUCUAGUAGGAAAUGGCUAGAGUGAGACGGUACCUAUGAGAAAGCCACGGCUACUCUG